This 26-nucleotide non-coding RNA is filed under the name Cricetulus griseus (Chinese hamster). Lineage: Eukaryota; Metazoa; Chordata; Mammalia; Rodentia; Cricetidae. The record is from RNAcentral.
GGGGGCUGAUAUGAAACUAGACUUAC